CUCAUUCACACAGUCAUUGUUCGGUCAGUGAUUUCCAUCAGUGUUUUUAACCAAAACUAGGUGCGGCUUUAAACACAAAACAGGUGCACAUCUUUCCCUUAUACCUUAUGUCUGGAGGCUCCAAUCCUGGUUUUGGCUCACAAUCACUGACCA
Molecule: long non-coding RNA, 153 nt
Organism: Bufo bufo (common toad)
Lineage: Eukaryota; Metazoa; Chordata; Amphibia; Anura; Bufonidae
Exons: 3
Source: RefSeq, a predicted model, not a curated record